AACGCUGGCGGCGUGCCUAAUACAUGCAAGUAGAACGCUGAAGAGAGGAGCUUGCUCUUCUUGGAUGAGUUGCGAACGGGUGAGUAACGCGUAGGUAACCUGCCUUGUAGCGGGGGAUAACUAUUGGAAACGAUAGCUAAUACCGCAUAACAAUGGAUGACACAUGUCAUUUAUUUGAAAGGGGCAAUUGCUCCACUACAAGAUGGACCUGCGUUGUAUUAGCUAGUAGGUGAGGUAAUGGCUCACCUAGGCGACGAUACAUAGCCGACCUGAGAGGGUGAUCGGCCACACUGGGACUGAGACACGGCCCAGACUCCUACGGGAGGCAGCAGUAGGGAAUCUUCGGCAAUGGGGGCAACCCUGACCGAGCAACGCCGCGUGAGUGAAGAAGGUUUUCGGAUCGUAAAGCUCUGUUGUAAGUCAAGAACGGGUGUGAGAGUGGAAAGUUCACACUGUGACGGUAGCUUACCAGAAAGGGACGGCUAACUACGUGCCAGCAGCCGCGGUAAUACGUAGGUCCCGAGCGUUGUCCGGAUUUAUUGGGCGUAAAGCGAGCGCAGGCGGUUUGAUAAGUCUGAAGUUAAAGGCUGUGGCUCAACCAUAGUUCGCUUUGGAAACUGUCAAACUUGAGUGCAGAAGGGGAGAGUGGAAUUCCAUGUGUAGCGGUGAAAUGCGUAGAUAUAUGGAGGAACACCGGUGGCGAAAGCGGCUCUCUGGUCUGUAACUGACGCUGAGGCUCGAAAGCGUGGGGAGCGAACAGGAUUAGAUACCCUGGUAGUCCACGCCGUAAACGAUGAGUGCUAGGUGUUGGAUCCUUUCCGGGAUUCAGUGCCGCAGCUAACGCAUUAAGCACUCCGCCUGGGGAGUACGACCGCAAGGUUGAAACUCAAAGGAAUUGACGGGGGCCCGCACAAGCGGUGGAGCAUGUGGUUUAAUUCGAAGCAACGCGAAGAACCUUACCAGGUCUUGACAUCCCGAUGCUAUUUCUAGAGAUAGAAAGUUACUUCGGUACAUCGGUGACAGGUGGUGCAUGGUUGUCGUCAGCUCGUGUCGUGAGAUGUUGGGUUAAGUCCCGCAACGAGCGCAACCCCUAUUGUUAGUUGCCAUCAUUCAGUUGGGCACUCUAGCGAGACUGCCGGUAAUAAACCGGAGGAAGGUGGGGAUGACGUCAAAUCAUCAUGCCCCUUAUGACCUGGGCUACACACGUGCUACAAUGGUUGGUACAACGAGUUGCGAGUCGGUGACGGCGAGCUAAUCUCUUAAAGCCAAUCUCAGUUCGGAUUGUAGGCUGCAACUCGCCUACAUGAAGUCGGAAUCGCUAGUAAUCGCGGAUCAGCACGCCGCGGUGAAUACGUUCCCGGGCCUUGUACACACCGCCCGUCACACCACGAGAGUUUGUAACACCCGAAGUCGGUGAGGUAACCUUUUGGAGCCAGCCGCCUAAGGUGGGACAGAUGAUGGGGUGAAGU
RNAcentral lists this ribosomal RNA (1469 nucleotides) under Streptococcus thermophilus. Its description in RNAcentral is "bacterial SSU rRNA". It matches the Rfam family "Bacterial small subunit ribosomal RNA". The record is from RNAcentral. Lineage: Bacteria; Bacillati; Bacillota; Bacilli; Lactobacillales; Streptococcaceae.